RNAcentral lists this ribosomal RNA (252 nucleotides) under uncultured bacterium. RNAcentral describes it as "partial 16S ribosomal RNA". It matches the Rfam family "Bacterial small subunit ribosomal RNA", at positions 524 to 776 of the family's 1533-position model. The record is from RNAcentral.
UACGUAGGGUGCGAGCGUUAAUCGGAAUUACUGGGCGUAAAGCGUGCGCAGGCGGUGAGCUGUGUCCGAUGUGAAAGCCCCGGGCUUAACCUGGGAAUGGCAUUGGAAACUGUCUCGCUGGAGUGUGGCAGAGGGGGGUGGAAUUCCGCGUGUAGCAGUGAAAUGCGUAGAGAUGCGGAGGAACACGGAGGGCGAAGGCAGCCCCUGGGCUAACACUGACGCUCAGGCACGAAAGCGUGGGGAGCAAACAGG